Molecule: long non-coding RNA, 211 nt
Organism: Salvia splendens (bonfire salvia)
Lineage: Eukaryota; Viridiplantae; Streptophyta; Magnoliopsida; Lamiales; Lamiaceae
Exons: 3
Source: RefSeq, a predicted model, not a curated record
AAGAAGCACAAAACCAACCUCCGAAAAAUGCCGCUCAAUCUGGUUGGCGAACUUUGAAGAACAAUUCCGAGGGAAUCAUUGAUGGCAAAGGCGAGGCCUAAGCAAAUAUGAAUGGUUCUGAAAAAGCACAAUCGGAAACGAAAUGGCAACACCAGAAAUUGGAAAGGAAUCUACUAAGGCUCCCACAAUUGAUGGAUCCAAUGCUUUAAAA